RNAcentral lists this ribosomal RNA (449 nucleotides) under uncultured bacterium. RNAcentral describes it as "partial 16S ribosomal RNA". It matches the Rfam family "Bacterial small subunit ribosomal RNA", at positions 354 to 796 of the family's 1533-position model. The record is from RNAcentral.
GUGGGGAAUUUUGGACAAUGGGCGCAAGCCUGAUCCAGCAAUGCCUCGUGCAGGAAGAAGGCCUUCGGGUUGUAAACUGCUUUUGUACGGAACGAAACGGCUCUGGUUAAUACCCGGGGCUAAUGACGGUACCGUAAGAAUAAGCACCGGCUAACUACGUGCCAGCAGCCGCGGUAAUACGUAGGGUGCAAGCGUUAAUCGGAAUUACUGGGCGUAAAGCGUGCGCAGGCGGUUUUGUAAGACAGGCGUGAAAUCCCCGGGCGCAACCUGGGAAUGGCGCUUGUGACUGCAAAGCUGGAGUGCGGCAGAGGGGGAUGGAAUUCCGCGUGUAGCAGUGAAAUGCGUAGAUAUGCGGAGGAACACCGAUGGCGAAGGCAAUCCCCUGGGCCUGCACUGACGCUCAUGCACGAAAGCGUGGGGAGCAAACAGGAUUAGAAACCCCGUAGUCC